UGCGUAGGCGGCCGCUUAAGUAGGGUGUGAAAUGUCCCGGCUCAACCGGGGAAUGGCGCUCUAAACUGGGUGGCUCGAGUGAGAUAGAGGUGUGCGGAACUUCCGGUGUAGCGGUGAAAUGCUUAGAUAUCCUGAGGAACACCAGUGGCGAAAGCGACUUUCUGGCACGAAACUGACGCUGAGGCUCGAAAGCAUGGGUAGCAACG
This 206-nucleotide ribosomal RNA is filed under the name uncultured bacterium. RNAcentral describes it as "partial 16S ribosomal RNA". It matches the Rfam family "Bacterial small subunit ribosomal RNA", at positions 568 to 773 of the family's 1533-position model. The record is from RNAcentral.